Molecule: ribosomal RNA, 445 nt
Filed under: Bacillus subtilis
Lineage: Bacteria; Bacillati; Bacillota; Bacilli; Caryophanales; Bacillaceae
Description: bacterial SSU rRNA
Rfam family: Bacterial small subunit ribosomal RNA
Source: RNAcentral
GGCCGCGGCGAAGUGAGCAGAGUCUGACGGAGCACGCCGCGUGAGUGAUGAAGGUUUUCGGAUCGUAAAGCUCUGUUGUUAGGGAAGAACAAGUACCGUUCGAAUAGGGCGGUACCUUGACGGUACCUAACCAGAAAGCCACGGCUAACUACGUGCCAGCAGCCGCGGUAAUACGUAGGUGGCAAGCGUUGUCCGGAAUUAUUGGGCGUAAAGGGCUCGCAGGCGGUUUCUUAAGUCUGAUGUGAAAGCCCCCGGCUCAACCGGGGAGGGUCAUUGGAAACUGGGGAACUUGAGUGCAGAAGAGGAGAGUGGAAUUCCACGUGUAGCGGUGAAAUGCGUAGAGAUGUGGAGGAACACCAGUGGCGAAGGCGACUCUCUGGUCUGUAACUGACGCUGAGGAGCGAAAGCGUGGGGAGCGAACAGGAUUAGAUACCCCUGUAGUCCA